GCCCGUGCAAACUCUGUGGAAGCUGCAGUUACAGCUGCAACAGAGGAGGUGACACAGCCAUAACACCCGAUAGUGCAGAAAAACUUUACAGAAAUACGAGGUCUGGUCAUCUUCCUGAAGGUUCAGAAUUCUGAAAACUCCGGAUGUCUGACCUGGUGUCCAGUCCAGGGGGAAGUAGAAGGAGAAUGGGAUCUCGAUGGAGCCGCCCUGGACACCAGAGAGACGUGCUGGCUGGUUCACCCCAUAGGAUCCACGGUCCUCAGACCCCUUGACCUGAGCCUGACACAAACUCUCCUGGCCUCCCUGCCAGCUGCAUAUGGACACACUCCUAUGUCCAUCCUACACUUAGGAAAGACGAGGAACAGAGGCUCUAGAUGCUGCUGUCUGGGCCUCCCAAGUCCUGGAUUACAGGUGUGCACCAUCAUGCCCCUUCAUAUGCUGCUGCAAGGAUAAUCUUGGUUCUGAGCAUGCCAGGCAAGCGAGCACUGUACCAGGGGAACCCCGUCUUUACCCUCAGCAAGGUCUGUGAGGGUGACUCCUGGCCAUGAGUUCUCACCUCCAGGUUCCAUCUGCCUUUCCCUCACUGUCUGGGGCCUGUGGGUAAAAGAUGAGCUGAUGUCUGACUCUCCUAAGCAGGGUCUGGACCUGACAGGACGGCCACAUGUCAGCUUCUGUCCCAGCACACUCACAGCAGCCCUGGCAGGUUCUGCAGGACCCCAGCUCCCCUGUGUUCAGCCCCACUGCUGCCCCCUGCUGGCUCCCUAACCCAAGUCCUGGGCUCUGCUCUGCUUCCAGUCUGGACUAGUUGGAUCCCCAUGGACACCCUGCUGUGGGUGUGAUUUCUGUCCAGGACGCUGUGGGCAGUCUCCUGCAGUGUGGUCCUGCUUCCCCAAACCAGUGACGGGCCCUCCAGCCAUGAUGCUUUCCCAGGGGAGGAGACGUUCUGUGGAAGAGCAGCCUGGGGUUCUGGUGUGCACACAGGGGCUUUUGCAUACAUGUGACCACUGGCAGUGUCAGAUUGCAGUGUUGGGACCUGGGUGUAUCUCAGAGACAAGUGUGCCCUCAUGCCACAGAAUAACAAGCAGUGUAAUUUGAAAUAAACAAACAAAAAACAAAAAAUCUUAAGUGCAUUUGGUCAUAUGUGAUUAUAAUUCUAACUUGUGAGAGGCAGAGGCACAUGCAUCUCUGUGAGUUUGGAGCUAGCCUGGUCUUUAGAUCUAGUUUCUCUGUCUCCAGAAAACCAAAACAAAAAACCAAACCAAAACAACAAUCCCACAUAUCAAUAUACCAUCCGGCUGAGCACAGAAUCCCAAGGUUGAUAGCCAAGGUGGAUGGAGUCCCGAG
Meriones unguiculatus (Mongolian gerbil) is the source of this 1344-nucleotide long non-coding RNA. RefSeq lists it as uncharacterized. The transcript is spliced from 5 exons. Lineage: Eukaryota; Metazoa; Chordata; Mammalia; Rodentia; Muridae. The record is from RefSeq and is a predicted model, not a curated record.